RNAcentral lists this ribosomal RNA (500 nucleotides) under uncultured Sphingobacteriales bacterium. Its description in RNAcentral is "bacterial SSU rRNA". It matches the Rfam family "Bacterial small subunit ribosomal RNA", at positions 904 to 1382 of the family's 1533-position model. Lineage: Bacteria; Pseudomonadati; Bacteroidota; Sphingobacteriia; Sphingobacteriales. The record is from RNAcentral.
CCUUGCCAGCCCGCUCAGAACUUAAGGAAUUGACGGGGCCCGCACAAGCGGAGGAGCAUGUGGUUUAAUUCGAUGAUACGCGAGGAACCUUACCUGGGCUCGAACGUAAGAUGACUGUAGGUGAAAGCUUACAUCUCUUCGGAGCAUUUUACGAGGUGCUGCAUGGUUGUCGUCAGCUCGUGCCGUGAGGUGUCGGGUUAAGUCCCAUAACGAGCGCAACCCCUACCUUUAGUUGCCAUCAGGUUAAGCUGGGGACUCUAAAGGAACUGCCUACGCAAGUAGUGAGGAAGGCGGGGAUGACGUCAAAUCAGCACGGCCCUUACGUCCAGGGCUACACACGUGCUACAAUGGCCGAUACAGAGGGCAGCUACCUGGUGACAGGAUGCAAAUCUCCAAAGUCGGUCUCAGUUCGGAUCGGAGUCUGCAACCCGACUCCGUGAAGUUGGAUUCGCUAGUAAUCGCGCAUCAGCCAUGGCGCGGUGAAUACGUUCCCGGGCCUU